This 192-nucleotide unclassified non-coding RNA is filed under the name rhizosphere metagenome. RNAcentral describes it as "partial ribosomal RNA internal transcribed spacer region". The record is from RNAcentral.
GAGUUCAUGCCCUUCGGGGUAGAUCUCCCACCCUUUGUAUACUAUACCUCUGUUGCUUUGGCGGGCCGCCUUAGCGCUACCGGCCCUGUGGGCUGGUACGUGCCCGCCGAAGGACCCAAAACCCUGAAUAUUAGUGUCGUCUGAGUAAAAAGUUUAAUAUUUAAAACUUUCAACAACGGAUCUCUUGGCUCU